Molecule: long non-coding RNA, 988 nt
Filed under: Sinocyclocheilus anshuiensis
Lineage: Eukaryota; Metazoa; Chordata; Actinopteri; Cypriniformes; Cyprinidae
Description: lncRNA (ENSSANG00000022588.1)
Rfam family: let-7 microRNA precursor family (bases 259-345)
Source: RNAcentral
AGGUAGUAGAUUGAAUAGUUGUGGAGACCUGUGCUCUCUCACUGAGAUAACUAUACAAUCUACUGUCUUUCCUAAGGCGACAGCCAAAUCAUCCACAAACAACAUGGACUCAUUUGAAAAAGUGUCUGCAUUCCUCCAUUGAGUUGGAAAGGAUAUUCCCUCACAUUACAGAAGUAAAAUGGGCUGGGAUUGACGUGUCACGUUGACAUCAUACAUACGCAAGCGUGUCAGGCGAUGGGACUGUCCUUUGGUGUCCUGACAGGGUGAGGUAGUAGGUUGUAUAGUUUGGUGGGAGGGAUCAAACCCUGUUCAGGUGAUAACUAUACAGUCUAUUGCCUUCCUUGUUGUACCAGCUAUCUGUCUGCUAGUGGAAAUUCCCUGGAGUUUAAAUAUUGCUUAAACCCUAUGCCUGCUUCACACCACAUGAACUUUGAAUAUGACGACUAGCAGUUUUAAAGCUUGUGGCGCCCUCCAGUUGUCAUACAGCUUCACGGCUCCUGAAGACUGAAGCUUUUUAGAAGCUUUUCAUAUGGAUAUUGUAGGAUAUCUACAGUAUCAGUUUCCAACAUACCGUCACUAAAAGAUCCAUUCAGAAUUGUAUUACAGUGAAAUUAUGAUUGUAGUUUUUCUGCCUGAUUCAUGUGCCAGUGUUAGAGGGUAAUGUAAUUUGAUGGCCAGUAUUAGGUUAUCUAGGCUGGGAUCUCCAUGAGGAACUUGAGAAGUCUCUUUGUCCUCUCCAGCACCGUACAUACAGGGCCGUUUUAACCAUAGGGCUAGGCGGGGCUGAAGCCCCGGGGCCCGAGCAAGGAGGGGGCCCGUGAUUGGCUGUGGAGUAGAUUGACUGGAGAGCCGAUCGCCAAAGCCACCACGCCCCCCAUUUAUUAGCGCUGUUAUUUAGUUGAGCUUUUCCGAAAAUGCCAUGCAUUACCAUUUGAGAUUGAAACGUAAGUCUGAAUUUGGUUUACCAAUCAAAUGCAUUUAUUCUAUA